ACAUGGUUCUUCUAAUACCAGGACCCCAAUGUGCCUCCUCCAUGAGUCGGAUUAAUGGUUCACACAUGACCAAACCCAACACAACUCCAUCAGAUAAGCAUCAAUAUGCUCUCAGGUACAAAAAUGACCUCUUCCAAGUAUGCUCCAAAAACUAAUUAAAAUUCAUGAUAAUUCAUGAUAAUUCCCAACUAAGAAAAUGCCAUAAUCAGAAUUUUCAGAACCGGCCUCGAUCCUAUAGAUCUCGGCCAAAAUCAGCCAAACCGGCCAAAACUGGACAUCAUCAAAUCAAUUCCUAAAAAU
This 300-nucleotide long non-coding RNA is filed under the name Brassica napus (rape). Its description in RNAcentral is "long non-coding RNA (BNAP_LNC025706)". The record is from RNAcentral. Lineage: Eukaryota; Viridiplantae; Streptophyta; Magnoliopsida; Brassicales; Brassicaceae.